This 253-nucleotide ribosomal RNA is filed under the name uncultured bacterium. Its description in RNAcentral is "partial 16S ribosomal RNA". It matches the Rfam family "Bacterial small subunit ribosomal RNA", at positions 524 to 776 of the family's 1533-position model. The record is from RNAcentral.
UACGGAGGGUCCAAGCGUUAUCCGGAAUCAUUGGGUUUAAAGGGUCCGUAGGCGGUUUUGUAAGUCAGUGGUGAAAGCCCAUCGCUCAACGGUGGAACGGCCAUUGAUACUGCAAGACUUGAAUUAUUAGGAAGUAACUAGAAUAUGUAGUGUAGCGGUGAAAUGCUUAGAGAUUACAUGGAAUACCAAUUGCGAAGGCAGGUUACUACUAAUGGAUUGACACUGAUGGACGAAAGCGUGGGGAGCGAACAGG